RNAcentral lists this ribosomal RNA (269 nucleotides) under Salmonella enterica subsp. enterica. RNAcentral's name for it is "partial 16S ribosomal RNA". It matches the Rfam family "Bacterial small subunit ribosomal RNA", at positions 190 to 447 of the family's 1533-position model. The record is from RNAcentral. Lineage: Bacteria; Pseudomonadati; Pseudomonadota; Gammaproteobacteria; Enterobacterales; Enterobacteriaceae.
ACGUCGCAAGACCAAAGAGGGGGACCUUCGGGCCUCUUGCCAUCAGAUGUGCCCAGAUGGGAUUAGCUUGUUGGUGAGGUAACGGCUCACCAAGGCGACGAUCCCUAGCUGGUCUGAGAGGAUGACCAGCCACACUGGAACUGAGACACGGUCCAGACUCCUACGGGAGGCAGCAGUGGGGAAUAUUGCACAAUGGGCGCAAGCCUGAUGCAGCCAUGCCGCGUGUAUGAAGAAGGCCUUCGGGUUGUAAAGUACUUUCAGCGGGGAGG